CAAAACUGGCAAUUACUUUUGC
RNAcentral lists this microRNA (22 nucleotides) under Pan troglodytes (chimpanzee). RNAcentral describes it as "ptr-miR-548a". Its record names the gene ptr-miR-548a. Lineage: Eukaryota; Metazoa; Chordata; Mammalia; Primates; Hominidae. The record is from miRBase by way of RNAcentral. RNAcentral also lists the same sequence under 1 other name.